Dioscorea cayenensis subsp. rotundata (Guinea yam) is the source of this 107-nucleotide small nucleolar RNA. Lineage: Eukaryota; Viridiplantae; Streptophyta; Magnoliopsida; Dioscoreales; Dioscoreaceae. The record is from RefSeq and is a predicted model, not a curated record.
AAUCCGUAUUGCUUGCACUUUCUCAUGAGCUCCUUGAACCUUUUCCACGCUUCAAAUAGAGACUCCAAUUCUAAUUGUACGAAGGAUGAGAUCUCAUUCCUAAGCUU